UAGUGAAUAUGUUUUUCGUCCCACUCAAACGAUCAAGAAUAAUUCUCUAACAAAUUAAAAGACAAAUUCAAAAUUAAGGAAAUAUAAUUAUAGCAAAAAACUAAACACCGUAUUUUAAAAAAGAUUAAAUUGAUUUACCUUUCCCAUUUCUUUUCCAAGUUCUAUAGAUUCAAGUUUUGUUCCAUUCAUCCCCGAAUCUUCUUCAUUAGUCAAAUGUGGCUUAGUAGAUUCAAGUUUUAUGGCAUUCAUUCCAAGAAUUACUUGGUUAGCCAAGCAAAUUACACUAUGUGUGUAAGAUGAAGAAAAGAAAAUACCGUAAAAGGGUAUAGAAAUGAGAAUUCAGAAUAGCAAGUUCUGAAGCCAAUACUUGUAGAUAAACAAUUGAGUUAGUUUGUUUGUUUUUUUAGCAGAUUUUAGUUAGUUAAAUUCGGUUAUGGGCAGUUACUUAUCUUGAGUUAGUUAAUUUUAUUGGAUAAAUUUCUGUUUGUCAAAAUCUCUUAUUUUAUUAUUAAAAUUAGUUAUUCUACAUUCCUUGUAUGUAAAGAA
Molecule: long non-coding RNA, 546 nt
Filed under: Lathyrus oleraceus (garden pea)
Lineage: Eukaryota; Viridiplantae; Streptophyta; Magnoliopsida; Fabales; Fabaceae
Description: Pisum sativum (pea) long non-coding RNA (PSAT_LNC040166)
Source: RNAcentral